AAAUAUACAUCCUUAUUUCUGUUUUACAGAUUAAAAAAAAAAUGAAGGCUCAGAGAGGAAAACUGACUUAGCCAUGAUCACCAAGUUGAUGACUGGCAGGAGAAUGACUGACCCCAGGUAUUGGAAGAGAACACCAGGAAUAAGGUGGUGCAAGAGAAAAUCACAUCCGUACAUUGGAGCCUGGUCCUAUGAGUUUUCUGUCUCCGUCAGGGCAGCAGGUCUCCACAACAGUCAGUGAAUCCUGGUUGUUCUUCUUUAUCGAGAUGUAGCCAUUUCCUCUAGCUCAGGACUUUAAACAAAAUUAAUGUGAUCCGUGGCAAGAAGUAUAUUUAUCAUUAUAACCAAAUUUGUAAUUUUCUGUGUAUAUAAUUAGAAACAAUUUCAUGAAACAAUACUUACUCUAUCACAAUGUUCUGUGAUGCUUCUCUCCGCCAAUGAUUCUUGAAUUUUAAUAUGCUUGUUAACUAGCAACUUUGUUAAAUAUAUGAUUCCGAUUCUGUAUCAGGGGAGGGGCCUGCAUUUAUCAAAUUCCUAGUUAGAUGCCUCUGUUUCUAGAACUGCAUCUUAAGUAGCAAAGUUCCAGUCAACUUCAGUGCUCACUUACUCCAGUGAGUUUCAAGUGUAUCUGGGCUGGCAGCUGGCGUGUGUCUAGGUGUGAUACUGUGUCAGGCAUCUCUGGACAGGUCGCAUGCCUAUCUGGGAUAUUCUUGCAAAAGUGGACUUCUUACAGAGUGGCAUCAUAGUUGGGAGUAGUUGAGAAGACUAAAACAUGGCAGAGGAAAAGGGAAAGAGGCCUUCUUGACAUAUAUGCACUUUAUCACCAUGUUGACAUAACAGAUCUAUUACAACUUGGACUAAACAAGCCUAAGUAUUCUGCAUAAUGUGGACACUCAUGUGAAAAGCAUAUAGAAGAUGGCUGAGGGUGUCUAUGACAAUGACAUGUAUAACAGAAAGAAAGAAAAACAGUUCCUGAGGCAUCAUCUCCCUUAGUCUGCAGUAUGAAUGCUUCCUGUGUCCGUCAGUGUUCUUGUUUCUCAGUAACAGAGACUAGCUCUGUCUGACUGAAUAAAAACAAAACCAGGGGAGAUGAUUGAAGGAUUCCAGAAGAGUAGACAGCUGUGGGGACAAAGGUUGGAAAUGAGCAAGGACACCUUUAAAGGACUAGAAAGAAGCAUCAAAGCCAUGACCUCAGAACAGAAACAGGCUGGGCAGUCUGUGCCUGCUGACAUUAAUGAACUUGAACCAUUUCUUUCCUCAGUCCCCACUUCAAGCUUCCAGGAUCAAAGUCACAGGAGAGACAAUUUAUCUGGCUGAACUUGGGUUUCACAUUAUAUCCUGAAUGAAUGUCUUGGGAAAACAAAAACAAUUUGGUUCUUCAAAUGUCCACAAUGGGCCAGAUGCCUGUAUUUGAUUCCUUCAAGAGCACAGACAAGUGGGGCAGUGAAAUGCUUCCAAAGAAAAUAAGAGUCCCCUUGGGAAGAGGAAAUGAAUGCUGAGCCAUCUGUAAAAUACACUGAAGAAAGCCCUGACCUGUGACUGCUGGACAAUGAAUCAACUGGGACACUUGCUCUCAGUCCAGAAGGAUGGUGAAGGGGACUUUCUAGUUCUUUGGGAACCCCAGCUAUCAUCUCAAAGCCAAGGACAGUGAGCGGUCCUUACACUAGGGAAUAGCUCCAAACUCAACCCUUUCAGAACUUACUUAAAGAUGUGAAAAAACCAACUCUCUUAGUGCCAUCAGCAUUGUCACUGCCCUAUCACAACCUUUUCUCUUUACUCCUAUAGGGAAAAUCUAAGGGAUCCUAAGAGUCAUCAGAAUUCCAGCUAUGUGGAAGUUGUUAUCCACUUUAAGGCUUUCCCUUCCCCAAUACAAGAAAGAAGGGGAGUAUUUCUUCCUUCCCUGUGAGAGGUAACUAUGGAGGAAGGAAGAGAAGCCAUAGCAUAAGCUUCUGGGUAUAUAUAGUAACACUAAUAAGGAAAAUAAUCAGGAACACAUCUAGGUUUUUCAGCAGAAAUGCAAUUCCUCCCUGAAACUAGUCUGUGAAAAUCCCUAACCAAAUACCAUGUGCUGGAGUUCUUUUCACCAGUAUUUCCAGCCCUGGACACUGACCCUAAGGCAAUCCAAGCCUUCACUGAGCUAACAAGAAGAAUUCUCCAUUGCCCAAGAUCUGAAGUCAAAGUCUGUGGUAGAUAUACUUAGUUGACUGAGCCUGUCAUGUCCCCACAGCCAUGAGGCAAAGCAAGUAUUGUUGCUUUUGUAAAAGGAUGGUCUUCCCAUCACAUUUCAUAAGGAGGGUUGCCAUUAGCUAUACAGAACUUUGUGCAAAACAAGGAAAAUGAAGGUCUCUGUUGGCAAUGAUAACAGAUGUGUUUCCUACUUGCCAGUGGUUACAAGCCACUGCCUAGGUUCAAAGGACAGUGCAUACAUGGAUUAUGGCUUCAUGUCCCUCUCUGCUGGGAGCCUGUUCUCAGUGUAAACUGAACAGCUAUAUGCAAUGGCCAUGCUUAUAUGGUGAACAUUCUUUUUUUAGUACAGAUAACAAAUAGAUCAUAAAAGGAACAUGUCAGGCUUAGAAGAAAAUACAGUGGACACAUGAGCAUGCAGCUUGAUGAAGACCAGUGGAGAAGUAGUAUUAUGAAGCCAGAACAAGGAGCCUGUCAUGGUGCUAUAUUCUUGCAAUCCCAGCACAUAGAAGGCAGAAGGAGGAAGAUCAUAGGCCAGUUUGGGCUGUCUGACAGAGGAAAGGCAGUGACAAACAUUGAACUUCCACAUUCCACAUAGUUAAGGUGUAAUUGACUCUUCAUCAUAAGGUAGGUCUGCCCACAAAUCAUGUGUCAUGUGUGGAGUUUGGCUUCCAAUGGAUUACUGCAUCUAUGUGAUUGGAAGAGUAUGGGCACAUUGACUCACUGGUCAUCUGGGACCAGUGCUCUAUAUUAAGACCUGCAACUCCCUUUCUGGUUCAGAAAAUAAUUGCCUUAUGUUUAAUGAGAAAUAUGUAGAAAAAGUUUCAUAUAUUUUGUUGUUAAAUUAAUAUCAUUUGUUCCCAAGUAAAAAAAAAUUAAUCUAAGUAUUUCAGAAAGAAAAGGGUGGAAUUUACUUUUACUGCUGUAUAGUAAUCAAUAUAGAAACGUUUAUCCUUAUGUGCAUUAUUGACUCGAGUAAACACUAUUAAGUUGUUACUAUUUUCAUUCUAAAAAUGGUAACUAUAGAAAAGACAAAUGGAUUGAUCAGAUCAUUCGAUGUUGACUAAUUGGUGGAAAAUAGGUUUGAUUCAGUUAGGCAAUGUAUCUGAACACCUUUGAAUGUGGCCCCUUCUACUGUACAUGAUUAUAUAGUUAUUGUGUCUGGGCUGCUUGACAUUACAGAUGUGAUAGCUGGAGUUUCUACAGGUGAGUUGGGGUUGUAAGAUUAUUGGGAGAGAGUUCAAAACACAAUGGAAAGAGUGGUCUGUAUUAGGGGCCCAGAAGCAGAACUGUGCAGAAGGAAGAGUGGACUGUGAUAACAUUUGUAUUACACCCUUCUGAGUAGGCCUGAAAUGGAAUCAAGGGUACCCAAUUUUAGACAACCUAGGAGUUAUUCAUUGGCUGUAGGAUGCUCCCAGGGAAAAGAUGUGGCCAGGUGAAGGGGGGGGGGUAUUCCAGAUGAGAAGUCAUCUAUGGUCAGUGUUCUCUGUAGAGGAGAAAUGGAUGUGCUGGUUUGGUCCUGAACAGCAUCAUCAUGUCCACUUACUCCAAAGACUUCUCUGGUUUCCCCUCCUGCUCCCUUCGUCUUGCUCUCUGCUUCAAACACUCUAUUUUCUGGGCUUCUGUUCAAGUAAAGCAGGUUCACUCCCUCCUUUGAGCUCUUGCUGUUCUCAGCCUGGAACAGGAAACAUGCUGCUUGACUUCUUCCAUGCCUUAGUUAAUUGUCUUGGAUUUCCAUACCUGUGGAAAAGAACCUGAAAUAGAUAGACACAAAGGAAGAGAGGUUUGUUUUGGCCUGUGCUUUCUGAGGUUUUGGUCCACAGUCACUUGGCUGUACUGUGACAAUGCAGGACCUCAAGACAGGGAAUGCUUGCAGAGCAAAGUUGCUUGCUUUGGGGCAGAGCUGGACAGAGGGAGACAUCUUGCAUCCUUGAUAAAGCCCUUCCCACAAUUGAGUUCUGAAUCCAUGGGUUUAUCUGACACAAAGGCAGAGGCCUCACUACAGAAUCACCUCCCAAAGGUCCUACCUCUGAAGAAGCCUGUGUUAAUGACCAAAUCCUCAUCACAUAUAUGUGGGGAGUCAUCUAAGACCCACCCUACGCCACCCAUUUUCUCAAUGCUGCUUUCUGUUUACAGCCAAUCACACCUUUCCCAGCACAAUUUCAUUCUCUCUCCUAUGUUCUUAUUCUCUUUCUCCUUCUUUUUCCAUCUCCCUUUUCACCUUCUGGCAUCCUAUAUGAUUUACCUCUUCAUCACAUGUAUUGUUUGGUUCCUGUCUCGCCCUGGCUGGAACAUAAACUUCCCAAGAAGAUCCUGUGAGGAUCUGUGUCUACUAUGUUUACUUGAUGUCACCAUUCACCCUUCAGCUAAAGAGACUGUGAUUGUUGUUUGGCUAAGGAGACUAUAUGACAAAGCUCCAGUUUUCACAAUGUAGAUAAAGAGACUGUAAGAUUGUUGCUUGGCUAAAGAAACUGUAGGACAAAGUCCAUGUAGUCCAGUUUCUGGUUGAGUGGAUACAGCCCUACUUCCUCCUUUAAUUUUAUUGCUUAAAAAAUAAAAUCAUUUGUAUAGUGAUCUUUAGAUUCAGUGACUUGUUCCCUUUUGCCCUCAGAAUACUGAUGAUCUGAGAUGGUUUGGGACAGUAUUGAAAAAAGUAGUAUAAAACCUACACAUUUGAAAGAAUUAAUAUUGAUGAAAUGGCUGAACAGCAUGUUCUAACUAGUCUCUGGAGAUUGGGAAAGUACAUAAAAAUCCACAAAUGAGUUUGGGAACAUUUUCUGCUUACUUUGUAAUGAAGUUUUUAAUGCUUUUAUAGAUAUAAAAUGCAAAUUUGAAAAGUAAGAAUCAAGAAAAAAGAUAUGAUUUUACAUUGAAAAAAUCAUUAGAUUAUAAAAAUAAGAAAGAUAGAAAUAUUGCAGUAAUUAUAUUUGAUAUAUAAAUAAAGAUAUAUAUAAAGGUUUAAAAUAGAUUAUAGUACAAUUUGAUAAGAAUUUUUGCUUUGCUUAUUACAAGUUGAGAAUCAGCCUUUUAGAUUCUAAAUUGUCUGGCAAUCGUGACCAUAAGGAAAUGUCAAAGGCCUCUCCUCUGCUUAGUUAAACUUUGUCUACUUGCUCCCUGAUCUCUGAUCUUGAAUUUUAUGACUAUGACUUUUCAAGGAUGUUUUGAUUCAUGUUGGGAAAAUAGUCACCUAUUAGUUAUUUUUGAAAUGCAAAUAUUGAUUGAUGUAUUCAUUUUUGUGAGAUAUAAAAAUAAACUCUGUGGCCCUGGGAAGAGA
Non-coding RNA from Cricetulus griseus (Chinese hamster), 5455 nucleotides. The record is from RefSeq and is a predicted model, not a curated record. NCBI's taxonomy places the organism in Eukaryota, Metazoa, Chordata, Mammalia, Rodentia, Cricetidae.